Non-coding RNA from Rattus norvegicus (Norway rat), 1718 nucleotides. Lineage: Eukaryota; Metazoa; Chordata; Mammalia; Rodentia; Muridae. The record is from the annotation of a RefSeq genome assembly.
GCUCCCGGGAAGGAAGAGUCUAGAUCCUGCACUCAGAAUUUGGUAGGAACCCACCCCCUAUCACCCCAAGUCCCACAGCUGCUGCUGGGGGCCAGUGGACUCGGAGAUUUUCCUUUUUAUGUGUUGUCUUUCCUAGAGUAAGAUGUAAGCCAACUAGAUUUCAGCAGUUAGACAUCCGACCACAGGGUGGCAGUGCACCUCAGCUGAUGCACGACAGAACACCUUCGUCAAUUCUGAAAGAGCUGGCUUUUUUUUUUUUUUUUUUUUUUUCUUAUUGUCUGGGCCAAUCACUCAUCAUGUAUGAUUCUUAGAACAACAAGGGCCAAUCUGAACUUACAAGUGUCUCAGCUGGCUACAGGCUGAGCAUCUACAACUGAUUUGAAUAGGAAGCACAAUGAAGACGGCUGUUCAUGCUUUGUUUCUUUUCCUCUGGCUGAAGAUGGACUGGGAGAGCCAAGGCGAGCAGGUGAAACAGCACCCUUCCUCCCUGAGUGUCCAGGAAGGAGCCACUGCCCUCAUCAACUGCUCCUACACAGACAGUGCCUCCGUCUACUUCCCUUGGUAUAAGCAAGAGCCUGGGAGGCGUCCUCAGUUCAUCAUUGACAUCCGUUCAAAUAUGGAAAGAAAGCAGACCCAAAGACUCACCCUUUUGUUUGAUAAGAAAACCAAACACCUUUCCCUGAACAUCACAGCCACUGAGCCUGGAGACUCAGCCGUUUACUUCUGCACAGCAAGUACACAUUGCUCCCCAGGCACCUGCAGCCUGUCUUCAAACUUGCCUCCGGGGCUAGAGUGGUGCCCUUUUGCUGUGUCAGACAUUUCCUGAGAGCAUUUGUCACAUUGUUUGUGAACGGAAAAAACUGAUAAAGAUACUAAAGUAUGUAAGAUAAGACCCAAGAUGACUCAGGACGUUUAAAACAUAUUGUUAAUUGCUGCUUAAUAAUUACUUAAAAUUGAUAUUUAUUCAGAGUAUCUUGGUUUAGGCUAACAUUAGAAAAUGAAUAGUUGGGUGAGUAGAUGCACAGAGCGACGUCUGAAAUAAGGAGUCAACUUGGAUCUCCUUUCUGUGUGAGCCGAUCUCGGCAUGCCCAUGUGUUCAGCAGUCCAAUAACUCUGCAUCGGAGAUUCUACAGGAAUUGGUGAUGUUCUGCUUAGAAAACCACGCUCUAACAAAUUUAAAUUUGACAUUCAGCCUCCUAUCAUGUGUGAAGCCCUUCAGUUUCAGUAUCACAAUCUCUGGCACUCAUGGACUUUUGACUCUAGAUAAUUGCUUUUGCAGUUAUUUUGGGGAUUAAACAUGAAUUAUAUGUAUAUAUGUUGUAUAAUAUAUAUAUUAUACAAUGUAUGAAAGUGAUUGACUGUGUACCUAGAGUGUAAAUUGCUAAAGUUUGUUCAAACCAGAGUAAUAUGUCGUAUCAAUAUAUUCAGAGUUACAUUGUACAAUGUCAGUACUAUAAUUAAACUACAGUGUACAGUGGAUUUUUGUUAAAUACGUGAUUUUAGCUGUUCCUGUCAAACACCCAAAACGUACCUGAAAAUGAUGGGCAUAUUGAUUCACUUCACAAUGUGAUCAUUUGAUUACCCACUGUAUCCUCUACCAAACAUACUGUUGUGAACCUCAAAUAGGUGCAACACAAUCGAUUUAAAGAAACACAUCACAUCUUUCCUUUUAUGUUUCACUAAAGAUACAAGCUUUUCAAGAAAAUUAACUCGAUUUC